GACGAACCGUGCAAACGUUGUUCGGAAUCACUGGGCUUAAAGGGCGCGUAGGCGGGCCAGCCAGUCUGUGGUGAAAGCCCCCGGCUUAACCGGGGAAGUGCCGUGGAUACUGCUGGCCUCGAGGAGGAUAGGGGCAUCUGGAACGGUCGGUGGAGCGGUGAAAUGCGUUGAUAUCGACCGGAACUCCGGUGGCGAAGGCGGGUUGCUGGGCUGAUACUGACGCUGAGGCGCGAAAGCCAGGGGAGCGAACGGG
Molecule: ribosomal RNA, 253 nt
Filed under: uncultured bacterium
Lineage: Bacteria
Description: partial 16S ribosomal RNA
Rfam family: Bacterial small subunit ribosomal RNA
Source: RNAcentral